Long non-coding RNA from Hippopotamus amphibius kiboko, 830 nucleotides. RefSeq lists it as uncharacterized. NCBI's taxonomy places the organism in Eukaryota, Metazoa, Chordata, Mammalia, Artiodactyla, Hippopotamidae. The record is from RefSeq and is a predicted model, not a curated record. The transcript is spliced from 3 exons.
CAAUCAGGGAUCGAACCGUGCCCCCUGCAGUGGAAGCACAGAUUCUUAACCACUAGACCACCAGGGAAGUCCUCAAAGGUGGGGAACUGAGGCCUGGAGGAGGAACACCUCUCACCUCUCACUUAUGCAAGGUGAGAGGGCAGAAGACAGCCUUCAUGCAGCCCUCGUGGCACUACAAUUCCACUCCAUCCAUAUCUCUCCAUCCAUGUGCUGACCUUCCUGUGAGAAAUACUCCUCCUCCAGGAAGCCCCCCUGACUCUACAGCAGAACCCACAGUUUGUAUGUUGUCAUGCUCGCCCACAGAGGCAGAUGGACCCCAUCCGAGAUUUGGUUCAACGUCAUGACUGAUGAUGCCACAUGCGCACCAAGGGGGAAUGGAAAGGUUUAUUAUUUACAUAAUUGAGGUCUCUGGAGGAGCAGGGCCGGCUUCUCAAACAGGUCCAAAAUGGCUUGAGAGGGUGAGGAAAGGAGAUUGGUCUGGGUUUUUACUGUGGUGAGGGAGUGAGGUCAGGUGAGCAUUUGUGAGGGAAGCGGCUCGCGUGGUUCGAAUCUUCCAUGGACGCCAAAGGAGGCAGCACAGCACCCAGGCUUUCUUAUGAGCUUGUCCAGGUGUGAGGCACAAGGGGAAGAGGGAAAGGGAACAGCUUAAAGGGUGUCAGUAGUCAAAUAUCAAAAAAUGGGCUCAUUGAGCCCGCGUGUCGCAACUACUGAAGCCUGCGUGCCUAGAGCCCAUGCUCUGCAACAAAAGAAGCCACUGCAAUAAGUCCAUGUACUGCAACAGAGUAAGCCCCGCUCACCACAACUAGAGAAAGCCCGCACUCUGCAAUGAA